GAUGAACGCUGGCGGCGUGCCUAAUACAUGCAAGUCGAGCGGACGGACGAGGAGCUUGCUGGUCUGAUGUUAGCGGCGGACGGGUGAGUAACACGUGGAUAACCUACCUAUAAGACUGGUAUAAUCACGGGAAACCGGAGCUAAUACCGGAUAAGCUUUUGAUCCGCAUGGUUCAAAAGUGAAAGUCGGUCUUGCUGUCUCUUCUAGAUGGAUCCCGGCUGAAUUAGCUAGUUGGUAAGGUAACGGGUUACCAAGGCAACUAUGCAUAGCCGACCUGAGAGGGUGAUCGGCCACACUGGAGCUGAGACGCGGUCCUUGCUCCUACGGGAGGCAGCAGUAGCGAAUGUUCCGCAGUGGGCGAAAGCCUGACGGAGCAACGCCGCGUGAGUUAUGGAGGUCUUCGGAUCGUAAUACUCUGUUAUUAGUGAAGAACAUCUGUGUAAUUAACUGUGCCCAUCUUGACGGUACCUAAUCAGAAAGCCACGGCUAACUACGUG
RNAcentral lists this ribosomal RNA (497 nucleotides) under uncultured bacterium. RNAcentral's name for it is "partial 16S ribosomal RNA". It matches the Rfam family "Bacterial small subunit ribosomal RNA", at positions 28 to 507 of the family's 1533-position model. The record is from RNAcentral.